Molecule: ribosomal RNA, 252 nt
Filed under: uncultured Bacteroidales bacterium
Lineage: Bacteria; Pseudomonadati; Bacteroidota; Bacteroidia; Bacteroidales
Description: partial 16S ribosomal RNA
Rfam family: Bacterial small subunit ribosomal RNA
Source: RNAcentral
UACGGAGGAUGCGAGCGUUAUCCGGAUUUAUUGGGUUUAAAGGGUGCGUAGGCGGGUUAUCAAGUCAGCGGUAAAAUUGCGGGGCUCAACCCCGUACUGCCGUUGAAACUGAUGAUCUUGAGUGGGCGAGAAGUAUGCGGAAUGCGUGGUGUAGCGGUGAAAUGCAUAGAUAUCACGCAGAACUCCGAUUGCGAAGGCAGCAUACCGGCGCCCGACUGACGCUGAUGCACGAAAGCGUGGGUAUCAAACAGG